UGCGGGUAGGCUGAGAAACCUCCUGAACUCCUCAGCUAUUGGUCAUUUUAUGGUCACGCAACCCAGAGGUUUCCCGGUGCCGUCUGGGAUAUUGAAGUCCUGGGACUACACUCUCUAAGGCUGCUACAGUGUGUAUUAUGGCCAGUUUGCAUGAUAUGAGGGAAACUGGUGCUUUAAGAUACUACAAAGGACUUGCUUUGAAAUACUACAAAGGUUCUGGAGACCCGACUAGGCUGUUCAGAGCACUUGUUGGGUUCAAGUCCCAGCACCCACAUUGUGACUUACCGUAAGUUCCAGAGAAUCCAUGCCCUCCUCUGACCCCCACCAAGCGCCGACGUGGUGCACAAAUGUGCAGACAAAACAUUGACACCUAAAAAUACUGCAGGGCUGGACAGAAACGGAGGCUCUUGACUGUGGACUAGGAUGACGCGGAAUACCUCCUUCCCAGGCUCAAGUUCUCAGAAAUUCAUUGAAGCAGACGAUGAAUGCAAAACUUCGUACUUUCUAUGAAAAACCUAUGGGAUCAGAAGUAGCUGCUGAUGCUCGGGGUGAAGAGUCUUGGUUCGAAUUAGUGGUACACACCUGGUGCCCACAGAAAGCAGAUGAAGGCAAUGGAUUCCCUGGAACUGGAGUUAUGGAUGGUCGAGUCACCAUUUGACUGCAAGGGACAGGAUCUGGGUCUGACUCUCCAGCCCAAACUGCUCAGGCCCUGUAAUUCUACCAUGCACCUGCAAUCUUCUCCCAACCAGAUCCACCUUCUCCACCCACUUCCCUCCAGCUCCAGCAUUCAGACCUUACCCUCCUCUGCCCAGCCCAGUCAUGGAAACUCUGGCUAAGAACAAGAUACCUGUGAGGCCUUCCCACUUCCACAGAGGAUUCCGUGUGAGCACACUGGGCUGCAGAGGACUUGAGAAGGCCUUAGAUCCACUCCUACAGUAUCCAGAGUCUGCCUUCAAGGUUGCCUUCUGCCAACUGUAAAUAUAAACUGUUGGGGCCACUGAUGCUGGCUGGGAUGACUCCCAGGAGGUGGGAGGGGGAAGGGUGGGUACAGUGUAGAAAGAGAAUUACCUCUAGGCCUCCAUUCCAGCUCAGCCACAGCCAAGGUCAUCUUGGGCAGACCACAGCUGUCAGGUAGCACUACUGUGUCUUUUUAGUUUUUUGAGACAGGGUUUCUCUGUAGCUUUGGAGUCUGCCCUGGCACUAGCUCCUGUAGACCAGGCUGGCCUCGAACUCACAGAGAUCCACCGGCCUCUGCCUCCCGAGUGCUGGGAUUAAAGGCAUGUGCCACUACUGCUCAGCCCACUGUGUCUUCCUAUGGACAGUCUGGAGCCCUAACCCCUGUCUGCUAUGAUCUUGGGAUGGUCGAUGGGAACUGAAUUCAAAACCUUUAGAAGAGCAGCCAGUGCUCUUAACUGCUGAGCCAUCUCUCCAGCUCUAAAAGGUUUAUUUUUAUGUGUAUGAGUGUGUUGCCUGCGUGUAUGUAAGUGCAGCAUGUGCGUUUCUGGUACCUGGAGGUCAGAAGAGGGUAACAGAUCCCUAGAAACUGGAGUUAUGGAUGUUUGUGAACCACUCCUGGAAGGGCAGCCAGUGUUCUUAACCGA
Molecule: non-coding RNA, 1601 nt
Organism: Myodes glareolus (Bank vole)
Lineage: Eukaryota; Metazoa; Chordata; Mammalia; Rodentia; Cricetidae
Source: RefSeq, a predicted model, not a curated record